This 403-nucleotide long non-coding RNA is filed under the name Salvia miltiorrhiza (redroot sage). RNAcentral's name for it is "long non-coding RNA (SMIL_LNC000080)". The record is from RNAcentral. Lineage: Eukaryota; Viridiplantae; Streptophyta; Magnoliopsida; Lamiales; Lamiaceae.
CUGCUAUUCCUUCCCGAAGUGUCGCCGGAUUCCUGUUGGUGGUUUCCUGUUUGGUGGCUGUGUGUGUGAACCUCGCUCCGAUUGAUUGCGUGUAUCGCCGGAUUCCUGACCGUUGGAUUCCUGUUUGGUGAUACACUGUGGAUUUUGGUGGCUGUGCAAAGCGAGACUUGAGUGCCGAUUAGUUCUCCCUGUUUCCCUGAGCCUUGAUCAUUGAGCUGCCGGAAGAAGCCGAGUCUACUUUGGGAAAAUCUGAGCCAAAGUGUCCCGAGGACACAUUUUCCCACUUGAAUCUCCUCUGGACUUUCUCACUGUUCUGUUUUUCUUUCGUUUCUUUCCUUGAACUGUUGACUUGCUUUGUUUUCUGGUGAUUUGCAGGUUCACGCAGGUAGUAGAAGAAGCUGGA